AUGUUUCUUCCUCCAGGCACUCCUGGACCUUAUCGUGAAAUGGAAAACAUCCCGGGGAGUGGGGUAUUUGGGGAACAGGAAUCAUCCCUUUCAGCAAAAGCCUCCUUUGAGAGGUGUUUGUGGCCCCACAGGGACAUGACUGAGUCCUACACCUCAGCCCUUCUGGGGAAAUUAUUUUGGUUUACUCCCUUGAAGCUCUCACCAGGAAGGCCUCCAACACUUCUCAAGGCUGAUAAAGUUUUGCCUCUGCCUUUCUGGAUGAGCAGACAGGCUCUGCCCCCUGCCAAGCCUAACCUACCCACGUGCUCACCAAACUAUUCGCCUGCAGCUUCACGUAUCUCACUUUAUGUAUCACCUCGUGCCAGCUCUCCUCUCUGGGCAUGUCUACGUCGCUAUUUUGGCCUGGGGUCUGGCAUGUCUCUUGGCAUCCUGACAGCCACGACAGAGUACGGGAGAAGAAAGUGGAAGGAAAACACGGGCACAGGCUGGGCGCUGGCUCGGCAGGUGUGGGUACACGACAGGGCUGGUCACCAGCCCAGGCUCGAGUCCAGGCAAAAUGAUCAUCGUCCUGUCUUUGUAGCACUUUAUUUGGAAAUGUUUCUGGCCAUUAAUUACCAUAUUUUGUAUAAAAUGACUUGGGAUGUUGCCUCAGGAGGCUUUUCCAGCUGCUGGGGCUGUGACCAGGGAGAGACAGCACGAUACAAGGCCCAGAAGAUACAAGGCCCCAGAAAUAGGGGAUCUCCUCAAACCACCACCUGUGGAGCUCAUUCUGGACAUAGGUGCCUACUGUUACCACAAAAGGCACCUUCAGUUCACUCUUUGCAUUUCCAGGCCCCAAAUUCUGUAUGCUACCAGUGGGGAGAAGCAGAGGCUGCAUUUGAGGUGUGUUUGAAUGCGGCCCUGCAGCUCUCCACAGGCUGCAGGGCUCACGGGGUCGGUGUUGUUCUGGAUGAUGCCACUCACAUCUGUCCCCUUGAGCCCUGUAGAUAUGUAAAGUUUUAUUUUUCAGACUCUGCAGGGAGUGGCUUGAACGUGGUCCAAGAGAUGACCCGUGGAGGUCCAACCUCCAGCGACACAUCUGCACAACCAUACUGA
RNAcentral lists this long non-coding RNA (1095 nucleotides) under Anas platyrhynchos platyrhynchos (common mallard). Its description in RNAcentral is "lncRNA (ENSAPLG00000020271.1)". The record is from RNAcentral. Lineage: Eukaryota; Metazoa; Chordata; Aves; Anseriformes; Anatidae.